CUCUCCCCGCUCACCCACCUUAGGCCGCCUAGGUGUCGUAUUCACCUGUGCUCCACCGGGGAAUGCGAGAGGUAGGAGAGAGAGUGAGGCAAGGGCCGCCACCGGGUCCGCUCGUCGUUGUGUCCGUUCGAGGCAAACAAGGUGAUCUUGGGAGCCGGGGAACCUGCUGGGCGGAAGGAAGACCGGCGCCCGCAUCCUCCGCGCACAUCGGAAGUUCGUCGUGUGCGCCAACACCCUAUACCUAUGCGCUGGCGGGCGGGGAAAUCAUUGCCAGAACGUUGGGCGAACCUAGGCGUCGUUGUUUGGAUGGGUCGCGGACCAGAGCGCGCUCACCAGUGCUGGUUGCAUACGCCGCGCCGUGGCCAUGUGCAAGGACGGUGUCGUCAAUCCACUGCUCGCCGCGGAUUGUACGACUGACGCCCAAAACCACGUCAUGGAUGCUUCCCCAUGCUUCGCUAUCCUUCAUUAGAUGCGUAGCAAACCUCGUCUGUUCGAUUCGGGGCCGGAAUCGCCGGGUGGCCACAACUCGACCAUGGCGCCACCGUCGAGUUGUGGGCGUCUCUGUUGGUGCUGUCGGAGGAAGAAGGUGAAACCGUGGCCAUUCGAUCCAUUACUGGCGUUUAGGAUUAGAUUGGUGGGGUGUGUCAUCGUGUGCCGUUGAUGCUAGGAAGGUCGGCCACGAUUACAUACUGGCAUACCGAUUCGGUAUGUGAAAACCGGCCAUCCGAUAGGGAUCUGAAGGACGUAGUUCGAUCCUGUGUGAAUUAAAUCUCGACCACUGAUCGCUAAUCCAUUGGUCGAGAGCACACGCCACAUGGGUUAAAGAGUAGAUCUAAUCUGCACCACUGAUUUUGGAUCGGGUGGCUGGGGUAAGCGGAUACCCCUUCGGGCGCGCAAUUAUUCAAAAGAGCCCUUGGACUUCAUUUAAAUGAACCCACCGUCCACUGAUGGCGUAAGAUUAUUACGGUUAGGCCCUAAAAUUUAUGAAAACAACCCUGACCUCUCUAGAAAUCUUGUCCGCAGUCCAGAAUUAUUAGAAUUAUUCAUAAUUAAGUCAGAAAAUGAAUUUUAAUAUAAAAAUAAAUUCAGAAAUUAUAUAAUUCAAAGAUAAUUCAUCUUAGCUCCUUUUUAAUCAAUUCCAGUGGCAUUAAUUUUGUUUUAAUACUACUUACACCUAGUAACUCUGCAUAGACAUGAAACAUAGAUUAAAAAUUGUUUACUUAAUUUAUCUCGUGUCAAAUACUUAAUAACUUUGGAAAUCCAUAACUUCUUCGUUUUAAUUCCGAUCUGGUCCAUUCAAGUCGCGUUAGUUUCAUAUAAAUAUUUACUAUACAAUUACAACACUUAUUGUACCAUGUUUCAUUCUUUUAUAAUUAGAUCUUUAUUUAACUUAUGUUGGUUAGUCUUGUUAAUCUGCUUAUCAUUAUAAACUACUAGAAUAUGAUCUAUGGUCAAUCUUUAAUCUAGAUUAAAGUUGAAUUAAUUACUACUUUAGGUUAUCUUUUCACUGUAAUUAUAAAAUAAACAUAGAACCUGGUGUUAAUCAUUUAAUCACAUCAUAACUCGAUGACCACAUCUCUGAUCUUAGUAGUUCUCGAUCCCGCGAUCUCGUAGCGACGUGUAGACUAUUAUUAUGCAGUAUGUUCUUAUGUUUGAUGUGAUGAUAAUUUUGUCUAUAUCAUGUCUGUUUGUAUUGCUACAACUAGCACGAGGUUACAAGGAUUUGAAGAGUCACCCUGGUAACUGGAAUCUCAAGUGCCAGGCAAGUUGUGCCCUUGAUCACC
RNAcentral lists this long non-coding RNA (1784 nucleotides) under Zea mays. RNAcentral's name for it is "long non-coding RNA (ZMAY_LNC003739)". Lineage: Eukaryota; Viridiplantae; Streptophyta; Magnoliopsida; Poales; Poaceae. The record is from RNAcentral.